CGCAACGAGCGCAACCCUUUUCCUUAUUUGCCAGCGGGUUAAGCCGGGAACUUUAAGGAUACUGCCAGUGACAAACUGGAGGAAGGCGGGGACGACGUCAAGUCAUCAUGGCCCUUACGACCAGGGCUACACACGUGCUACAAUGGUCGGUACAAAGGGUUGCUACCUAGCGAUAGGAUGCUAAUCUCAAAAAGCCGAUCGUAGUCCGGAUUGGAGUCUGCAACUCGACUCCAUGAAGUCGGAAUCGCUAGUAAUCGCGGAUCAGAAUGCCGCGGUGAAUACGUUCCCGGGCCUUGUACACACCGCCCGUCACACCAUGGGAGUUUGUUGCACCAGAAGUAGGUAGUCUAACCGCAAGGAGGACGCUUACCACGGUGUGGCCGAUGACUGGGGUGAAGUCGUAACAGGGUAACC
This 414-nucleotide ribosomal RNA is filed under the name uncultured bacterium. Its description in RNAcentral is "bacterial SSU rRNA". It matches the Rfam family "Bacterial small subunit ribosomal RNA", at positions 1088 to 1501 of the family's 1533-position model. The record is from RNAcentral.